GACGGAGGAUGCAAGUGUUAUCCGGAAUCACUGGGCGUAAAGCGUCUGUAGGUGGUCCAAUAAGUCAACUGUUAAAUCUUGAGGCUCAACCUCAAAACCGCAGUCGAAACUAUUAGACUAGAGUAUAGUAGGGGUAAAGGGAAUUUCCAGUGGAGCGGUGAAAUGCGUAGAGAUUGGAAAGAACACCGAUGGCGAAGGCACUUUACUGGGCUAUUACUGACACUCAGAGACGAAAGCUAGGGUAGCAAAUGGG
This 253-nucleotide ribosomal RNA is filed under the name uncultured bacterium. RNAcentral describes it as "partial 16S ribosomal RNA". It matches the Rfam family "Bacterial small subunit ribosomal RNA", at positions 524 to 776 of the family's 1533-position model. The record is from RNAcentral.